AGUGAACGCUGGCGGUAGGCCUAACACAUGCAAGUCGAACGGCAGCACAGUAAGAGCUUGCUCUUACGGGUGGCGAGUGGCGGACGGGUGAGGAAUACAUCGGAAUCUACUUUUUUGUGGGGGAUAACGUAGGGAAACUUACGCUAAUACCGCAUACGACCUACGGGUGAAAGCAGGGGAUCUUCGGACCUUGCGCGAUUGAAUGAGCCGAUGUCGGAUUAGCUAGUUGGCGGGGUAAAGGCCCACCAAGGCGACGAUCCGUAGCUGGUCUGAGAGGAUGAUCAGCCACACUGGAACUGAGACACGGUCCAGACUCCUGCGGGAGGCAGCAGUGGGGAAUAUUGGACAAUGGGCGCAAGCCUGAUCCAGCCAUACCGCGUGGGUGAAGAAGGCCUUCGGGUUGUAAAGCCCUUUUGUUGGGAAAGAAAAGCAGCAGGUUAAUACCCCGCUGUUCUGACGGUACCCAAAGAAUAAGCACCGGCUAACUUCGUG
RNAcentral lists this ribosomal RNA (492 nucleotides) under uncultured bacterium. Its description in RNAcentral is "partial 16S ribosomal RNA". It matches the Rfam family "Bacterial small subunit ribosomal RNA", at positions 29 to 507 of the family's 1533-position model. The record is from RNAcentral.